GACGAACGCUGGCGGCGUGCCUAAUACAUGCAAGUAGAACGCACAGUUUAUACCAUAGCUUGCUACACCAUAAACUGUGAGUUGCGAACGGGUGAGUAACGCGUAGGUAACCUGCCUGGUAGCGGGGGAUAACUAUUGGAAACGAUAGCUAAUACCGCAUAAUAUUAAUUAUUGCAUGAUAAUUGAUUGAAAGAUGCAAUUGCAUCACUACCAGAUGGACCUGCGUUGUAUUAGCUAGUAGGUGAGGUAACGGCUCACCUAGGCGACGAUACAUAGCCGACCUGAGAGGGUGAUCGGCCACACUGGGACUGAGACACGGCCCAGACUCCUACGGGAGGCAGCAGUAGGGAAUCUUCGGCAAUGGACGAAAGUCUGACCGAGCAACGCCGCGUGAGUGAAGAAGGUUUUCGGAUCGUAAAGCUCUGUUGUAAGAGAAGAACGGGUGUGAGAGUGGAAAGUUCACACUGUGACGGUAUCUUACCAGAAAGGGACGGCUAACUACGUG
Molecule: ribosomal RNA, 505 nt
Filed under: uncultured bacterium
Lineage: Bacteria
Description: partial 16S ribosomal RNA
Rfam family: Bacterial small subunit ribosomal RNA
Source: RNAcentral